This 445-nucleotide ribosomal RNA is filed under the name uncultured bacterium. RNAcentral describes it as "bacterial SSU rRNA". It matches the Rfam family "Bacterial small subunit ribosomal RNA", at positions 330 to 792 of the family's 1533-position model. The record is from RNAcentral.
UCCAGACUCCUACGGGAGGCAGCAGUGGGGGAUAUUGCACAAUGGGGGGAACCCUGAUGCAGCGACGCCGCGUGGGUGAAGGAGCGUUUCGGCGCGUAAAGCCCUAUCGGCAGGGGAGAAGGAGGACGGUACCUGACUAAGAAGCCCCGGCUAACUACGUGCCAGCAGCCGCGGUAAUACGUAGGGGGCAAGCGUUAUCCGGAUUUACUGGGUGUAAAGGGGGCGCAGACGGCAGCGCAAGCCAGGAGUGAAAGCCCGGGGCCCAACCCCGGGACUGCUCUGGGAACUGCGUGGCUGGAGUGCAGGAGGGCAGGCGGAAUUCCUGGUGUAGCGGUGAAAUGCGUAGAUAUCAGGAGGAACACCGGUGGCGAAGGCGGCCUGCUGGACUGCAACUGACGUUGAGGCCCGAAAGCGUGGGGAGCAAACAGGAUUAGAUACCCGGGUA